RNAcentral lists this unclassified non-coding RNA (462 nucleotides) under uncultured Russula. RNAcentral's name for it is "sequence contains ITS2". The stretch from base 1 to 154 matches the Rfam family "5.8S ribosomal RNA". Lineage: Eukaryota; Fungi; Basidiomycota; Agaricomycetes; Russulales; Russulaceae. The record is from RNAcentral.
AACUUUUGGCAACGGAUCUCUGGGCUCUCGCAUCGAUGAAGAACGCAGCGAAAUGCGAUACGUGAGGUGAAUUGCAGAAUGCAGUGAAUCAUCGAAUCUUUGAACGGACCUUGCGCCCCUUGGCAUUCCGAGGGGCACACCCGUUUGAGUGUCGUGAAAUUCUCAAAACCUUUUCCUUUGCGUGAAAUGAUUUUGGACUUGGGGGCCUUUUGCUGGUUUCACCUCGAAGCGAGCUCCUCCCAAAUGGAUUAGUGGGGUCUGCUUUGCCGAUCCUUGACGUGAUAAGAUGCUUCUACGUCUCGGGUUUUGGCACUGUGCCUCUGCUUCUAACCGUCUCAUUGACAACGAUGGUGUUCCGGUCACCGCCGAUUCGUCGGUGGGAGGCUUGACCCACAAAACGACCUUGACCUCAAAUCGGGUGAGACUACCCGCUGAACUUAAGCAUAUCAAUAAGCGGAGGCU